RNAcentral lists this long non-coding RNA (895 nucleotides) under Marmota monax (woodchuck). Lineage: Eukaryota; Metazoa; Chordata; Mammalia; Rodentia; Sciuridae. The record is from RNAcentral.
CACUAAAGGAAAAACCAAUCAAAGGAUAAAUCAAGUCAAGUUAAAUACCAAAAAUAAACAAAAAUGACCAGGAAUACAAAUCAUGUCUGAAUAAUAAUCCUUAAUGUUAAUGGUCUAAACUCACCAAUCAAAAGACCUAGAUUGGCAGAUUGGAUGAAAACAAAAACAAAAACAAAAACCACCCAACAAUAUGCUGCCUUCAAGACACUCAUCUCAUAGGAAAAAACAUCCAGAGAAUGAAAGUAAAAGGUUGGGAAAAAACAUACCACUCACAUAUACUGUAAAACCAGCAGGGGUUUCUAUCUUCAUAUCAAAUAACGUAGAUUUCAAGCCAAAGUUAAUCAAAAGGGAUAAAGAAGGAUAUUACAUACUGCUUAAGGGAACUAUACAUCAACAAAACAUAACAAUUAUAAAUAUAUAUGCUCCAAACACUGGAGCAUCUGUGUUCAUUAAAGUCUUCUCAAGUACAAGAGUCAAUAGACCAUGACACAAUAAUUCUGGGUGACUUUAACACACCCUUUCACAACUGCUGGGUUUCUGAUCUCAUGACUAAAAGGCUCAGGGGUCGGUCACUCCAGUUAAACUGGGCUAACUGGGCUGCAUGAAAUAACCACACAAGAGACACAAUACCUUUUUCUUUGGGGUCGCUGUGAUGGCUCCCCUGACCUUAAGGGUCUGCAGAAAGGGAGCAAGAGCACAUGCUGACCCUUUUUAUUGAGGAGAAGUUAUUUAAGUGAGGCAAGGGGUCAGGUUUCAGGGGUCUGAGUCUAUCUUCAUGAUGUCCACUGUCAGCAGGUUGAUUGACACCUGGGUAGGCCACACCCAAGGACACAGUAAGAGAAGGGGACACACACAAGGCACUUCCAUGGAAGAUUCUAUCCUAAACAGGGCAAGG